Molecule: ribosomal RNA, 206 nt
Filed under: uncultured bacterium
Lineage: Bacteria
Description: partial 16S ribosomal RNA
Rfam family: Bacterial small subunit ribosomal RNA
Source: RNAcentral
UCAGUUCGGACUGGGGUCUGCAACCCGACCCCACGAAGCUGGAUUCGCUAGUAAUCGCGCAUCAGCCAUGGCGCGGUGAAUACGUUCCCGGGCCUUGUACACACCGCCCGUCAAGCCAUGAAAGCCGGGGGGCGCCUGAAGUCCGUGACCGCGAGGGUCGGCCUAGGGUGAAACCGGUGAUUGGGGCUAAGUCGUAACAAGGUAGC